GUGGGGAAUAUUCCGCAAUGGGCGCAAGCCUGACGGAGCAACGCCGCGUGAAUGAAGACGGUCUUCGGAUUGUAAAGUUCUGUCAUUAGGGACGAAGGACUCAUGUAAAUAAUAUGAGGAAUGACGGUACCUAAGGAGGAAGCUCCGGCUAACUACGUGCCAGCAGCCGCGGUAAUACGUAGGGAGCAAGCGUUGUCCGGAAUUACUGGGCGUAAAGGGCGCGUAGGCGGAUAAUUAAGUCAGAUGUGAAAUCUCCAGGCUUAACUUGGAGCGUGCAUUUGAAACUGGUUAUCUUGAGGGCAGGAGAGGAAAGUGGAAUUCCUAGUGUAGCGGUGAAAUGCGUAGAUAUUAGGAGGAACACCAGUGGCGAAGGCGACUUUCUGGACUGAACCUGACGCUGAGGCGCGAAAGCAUGGGGAGCGAACGGGAUUAGAUACCCCGGUAGUCC
RNAcentral lists this ribosomal RNA (448 nucleotides) under uncultured bacterium. Its description in RNAcentral is "partial 16S ribosomal RNA". It matches the Rfam family "Bacterial small subunit ribosomal RNA", at positions 354 to 796 of the family's 1533-position model. The record is from RNAcentral.